Molecule: transfer RNA, 77 nt
Filed under: Thermofilum adornatum
Lineage: Archaea; Thermoproteati; Thermoproteota; Thermoprotei; Thermofilales; Thermofilaceae
Description: tRNA-Thr
Rfam family: tRNA
About the family: Transfer RNA (tRNA) molecules are approximately 80 nucleotides in length.
Source: RNAcentral
GGGCCGGUAGCUCAGCUAGGUAGAGCGAUGGCGUGGUGACCCAUAGGUCCCGGGUUCAAAUCCCGGCCGGCCCGCCA